UUCACCAGUGGGAAGAGCCCCAAGAAUGCAGCCCGGGCCGCUUGCUCUCUUGUGCACAGUGUUUGCCUUCAUCUGCUUUGGUUCCAGCAAUUCCCAGAGUGUCAAUCAACCUACAAAUGUAAUGUAUACAAAAGAGGGAGAAUCUGUGACCUUGGAAUGCACGAUCACAGUCAGUUAUACUUACUAUGUGAUGUACUGGUAUCGACAGCUUUCCAGUGGAGAGAUGACUUACCUCAUUCAUCUAGGUUCUGAAGACAGAAACUCAAGAGAAGGACGAUAUUCUGUGGUGUUUCAGAAACCAACCAUAAAGCUCACCAUCUCAACCUUGACGCCUGGAGACUCAGCUGUCUAUUUCUGUGCUGUCGCACAACCAACCCACGGUGACAGCAGUAGUGGGAAGAGCCUUACAAAAACCCCAGGACCCAGCAUGAGCCAGCCAGCUGCUCCAGAAGCCUAG
This is a non-coding RNA of Diceros bicornis minor, 457 nucleotides long. Lineage: Eukaryota; Metazoa; Chordata; Mammalia; Perissodactyla; Rhinocerotidae. The record is from the annotation of a RefSeq genome assembly.